CCGAAUCACCGCUCUGCGGCUAAACACCGCUGGGCAACAGUGCAAGUGCAGCUACGGGAAAUCGGCAAAUUGGUUGUGUACCUUCGGAGGAUGCGGUGGCUCCAGGGGCCAGGCCCCGGACAUACAGCCUGCCAGUCGGUCGGUACACCGGGGCGUGGUGCUGCCUGGCCUGGCCAGAGGAUGGAUGCAGGAGCCCUUUCCUGCCCACACCAUCCUGGUGUACAGUAUGCCACAAGCGGAUGAAGCCGUGUCAGGCCUGCCCGUUGGAACCCUGCGGGGCUUGGUCGUCCUGUGCCAGGGCUGGCUUCUCAGCCGUCCUCUGGCCGGGGGCGUCCGGGCUCCACCUCACCGAAGGCCGCAGCGCAUCUUUGGCGGGCGUGAUCCUUAUGCCUCGGAACGGCCAAGCGUGCCCCGCGCGCCGCGCUGGUCUUGGGUUGAGACACGGAGCUUUGGGUGUGCAAAGAAGAGAGGCUGUGCCUUCGGGUGCGGCCUGGCUUCAGUUCCCGUGGGCGGGGAGAUGGCCGACCUGAGACGUCGGCCCCAUCCGUGGCACCCACGUGUGGUCUACUCGGAACUGUGUACUACGCAGGGGAAUCUGACUGUUUAAUUGAAACAUAGCUUUGCGAUGGGACCUGCUGGCUGGUUCCGCGAGGUGACUUCUGCCCAGUGCUCUGAUUGUCAAUGCAAAGAGAUUUAGCCAAGCGCGGGUAAACGGCGGGAGUAACUAUGACU
RNAcentral lists this ribosomal RNA (732 nucleotides) under Eutreptiella gymnastica. Its description in RNAcentral is "partial Eukaryotic large subunit ribosomal RNA". It matches the Rfam family "Eukaryotic large subunit ribosomal RNA", at positions 1854 to 2270 of the family's 3401-position model. The record is from RNAcentral. Lineage: Eukaryota; Euglenozoa; Euglenophyceae; Eutreptiales; Eutreptiaceae.